GCACAAUUAUGUCCCUAUUUGUUAACUUCAAAUCACCUGUGAUGAUCAUAUAUUAUAUCAAAAUCAGCGAUCAUAUAACCAUAAUCCAACACGUAUGUUCUAAGUUUAUAAACACAUCUAUAGGCCAUUUCAAAAGUUAUACAAGAUAGGACCCCCAAAAUACGACACAAUAGAGUGUAAGCUCAAAACAAUAGCCCACAAAAUAACCCUACAGGUCGUCAUCCAUGUACAUUGAUCUUUGGAAUCCCGUAAGAGCUCCACAGCUAGCCGUGCCCUCUACAUAGUUCCAUGCUCACCUACAAUGCAAGAACUACAUAAGCCAAUGCUUAGUAAGCAAGAAUCAUGCAUUUCAUGAGUAUGAGUAACAAGGAUAUGUGACACCAUGUCAUUUACUUUAAACAUCAUGCUAAAGAUGCAUCAUAUUCCAAUAUUCAUCAAAGUCGACUCGAAAUUAUUUCAUUUGAAAUCUUUCAUUUCAUUGGGCCCUUGACCCACCAACUAUGCACUUGAUAGAGCUCUGCAUAAUAUCAAUAUCAAUAAUCAAUUGGCCAAUAUAAAAUCGACACCGGCGAGUGGACCAUCCUCUCGUGACCGCUAGAGGCCCAUCCCCUAACUACCCCUAUGAUCACCCAAGAAGUCUUCUACCCGGCAGCGCCAAUAAUCAUUACAAGGGCAUAAUUGAGUGGUCCGCCCUCCCGUGAUCACCAAAGGGCCAUCCCCUGUCUACCUUUGCAAUCACCCAGGAAGUAUCACCCGCGAUGCCAAACAUAUCACAUAAGCAUGCCUCACAUGCCUCGGUGCCCUAGUAGUGGUCAAUAAAACAUUUAUAAAGAAAACUUACUUUGAAAUCAUGUUUCACAUGCAAAGUUUUCAACCAUGAUCAUAUGUUGUGCAUGCCAACGAAAAUGCUCAUGAAUGACAUGCUCAAUGGAAGUUGAUGUCAAUGUAUUUUGCAACCGCAUAUUCAAUGAUCAUAAUCAUCAUAUAGGGUACAACGAGCUUUCUUAUCAAAGUAUGAAAAUAUCCUAACAUCACUAUACUACAAAUGCUAGAUUCUUGCAUCGUAG
RNAcentral lists this long non-coding RNA (1067 nucleotides) under Olea europaea subsp. europaea. The record is from RNAcentral. Lineage: Eukaryota; Viridiplantae; Streptophyta; Magnoliopsida; Lamiales; Oleaceae.